UUUCCGUAGGCGAACCUGCGGAAGGAUCAUUACAAAGUUCAUGCCCUCACGGGUAGAUCUCCCACCCUUGAAUAUUUAUACCUUAGUUGCUUUGGCAGGCCGUGGAAACACCAUGGGCUCCGGCUUAUGCGUGCCUGCCAGAGGAAACAAACUCUGUUUUUUAGUGAUGUCUGAGUACUAUAUAAUAGUUAAAACUUUCAACAACGGAUCUCUUGGUUCUG
This 221-nucleotide unclassified non-coding RNA is filed under the name plant metagenome. RNAcentral describes it as "partial contains small subunit ribosomal RNA, internal transcribed spacer 1, and 5.8S ribosomal RNA". The record is from RNAcentral.